GUUGUAUGGUUAAGUGACUAAGCGUACAUGGUGGAUGCCUUGGCAGUCAGAGGCGAUGAAGGACGUACUAACCUGCGAUAAGCUGUGAGAAGUCGGUAAGAGACGCUAUUACUCACAGAUUUCCGAAUGGGGAAACCCACUUAGCAUAAGCUAGGUAUCGUUGCAUGAAUACAUAGUGCAACGAGGCGAACCGGGAGAACUGAAACAUCUAAGUACCCCGAGGAAAAGAAAUCAACCGAGAUUCCCUCAGUAGCGGCGAGCGAACGGGGAUUAGCCCUUAAGUUUCUUGGAAGUUAGUGGAAUGGUCCUGGAAAGGCCAGCGAUACAGGGUGAUAGCCCCGUACAUGAAAACGACCUUGAAGUGAAAUCGAGUAGGGCGGGACACGUGACAUCCUGUCUGAAUAUGGGGGGACCAUCCUCCAAGGCUAAAUACUCCUGACUGACCGAUAGUGAACCAGUACCGUGAGGGAAAGGCGAAAAGAACCCCUGUGAGGGGAGUGAAAUAGAACCUGAAACCGUGUACGUACAAGCAGUGGGAGCCCUUCGGGGUGACUGCGUACCUUUUGUAUAAUGGGUCAGCGACUUACAUUUUGUAGCGAGGUUAACCGUAUAGGGGAGCCGUAGGGAAACCGAGUCUUAACUGGGCGUCUAGUUGCAAGGUGUAGACCCGAAACCGGGUGAUCUAGCCAUGGGCAGGUUGAAGGUUGAGUAACAUCAACUGGAGGACCGAACCCACUAACGUUGCAAAGUUAGGGGAUGACCUGUGGCUGGGGGUGAAAGGCCAAUCAAACUCGGAGAUAGCUGGUUCUCCCCGAAAGCUAUUUAGGUAGCGCCUCGGACGAAUACUACUGGGGGUAGAGCACUGUUUGGACUAGGGGGUCAUCCCGACUUACCAACUCCAUGCAAACUCCGAAUACCAGUAAGUACUAUCCGGGAGACACACGGCGGGUGCUAACGUCCGUCGUGAAGAGGGAAACAACCCAGACCGCCGGCUAAGGUCCCAAAGUUCUGGUUAAGUGGGAAACGAUGUGGGAAGGCUCAGACAGCUAGGAUGUUGGCUUAGAAGCAGCCAUCAUUUAAAGAAAGCGUAAUAGCUCACUAGUCGAGUCGGCCUGCGCGGAAGAUGUAACGGGGCUCAAACCAGGCACCGAAGCCGCGGAUUUGCACUUAGUGCAAGUGGUAGGGGAGCGUUCUGUAAGUCUGCGAAGGUGUAUCGAGAGGUAUGCUGGAGAUAUCAGAAGUGCGAAUGCUGACGUAAGUAACGAUAAAGGGGGUGAAAAGCCUCCUCGCCGGAAGACCAAGGGUUCCUGUCCAACGUUAAUCGGGGCAGGGUGAGUCGACCCCUAAGGUGAGGCCGAAAGGCGUAAUCGAUGGGAAGCAGGUUAAUAUUCCUGCACGACUUGUAAUUGCGAUGGGGGGACGGAGAAGGCUAGGUGGGCCAGGCGACGGUUGUCCUGGUGAAAGUGCGUAGGCGGUACCUUUAGGUAAAUCCGGAGGUGCAACGCUGAGACACGAGACGAAC
Molecule: ribosomal RNA, 1522 nt
Filed under: Aeromonas sp. HMWF016
Lineage: Bacteria; Pseudomonadati; Pseudomonadota; Gammaproteobacteria; Aeromonadales; Aeromonadaceae
Description: bacterial LSU rRNA
Rfam family: Bacterial large subunit ribosomal RNA
Source: RNAcentral